GGGGGCGACCUGGCUUCGACGUGGGUUGCGAAACCAUAGGUGCAUGCCGAGGUGCAGUCAUCUCGUAAAUCAACUGCAAAAUCUUAGUUGCCAACGACGACAACUACGCACUCGCUGCUUAAUACCCAGUAGGGUGCCCUCCGGUCUGGGGCCGUGCCUGUGCGCUCAGGUUUCCGGGGGUCAUCUCUCACAGGAUCGCGAUGAAGCUCGUCCGGGGCGGACUCGUUAAAACCUUUACCGGAAUCGCUGUCAGUUGGCCCUGUUCGUCGGGUUGCUGCCAGUUAAAACAAUAGACGAAAUAAGCAUGUAGAGCCUAUGGCAGAGGGCUUGCGGACGCGGGUUCGAUUCCCGCCGCCUCCACCA
RNAcentral lists this transfer-messenger RNA (363 nucleotides) under Chromatiales bacterium. It matches the Rfam family "transfer-messenger RNA". Rfam says of the family: Bacterial tmRNA, also known as 10Sa RNA or SsrA, is named for its dual tRNA and mRNA-like properties. Its role is to liberate the mRNA from a stalled ribosome. To accomplish this part of the tmRNA is used as a reading frame that ends in a translation stop signal. The record is from RNAcentral. Lineage: Bacteria; Pseudomonadati; Pseudomonadota; Gammaproteobacteria; Chromatiales.